AGUGAACGCUGGCGGUAGGCCUAACACAUGCAAGUCGAACGGCAGCACAGUAAGAGCUUGCUCUUACGGGUGGCGAGUGGCGGACGGGUGAGGAAUACAUCGGAAUCUACUUUUUCGUGGGGGAUAACGUAGGGAAACUUACGCUAAUACCGCAUACGACCUACGGGUGAAAGCAGGGGAUCUUCGGACCUUGCGCGAUUGAAUGAACCGAUGUCGGAUUAGCUAGUUGGCGGGGUAAAGGCCCACCAAGGCGACGAUCCGUAGCUGGUCUGAGAGGAUGAUCAGCCACACUGGAACUGAGACACGGUCCAGACUCCUACGGGAGGCAGCAGUGGGGAAUAUUGGACAAUGGGCGCAAGCCUGAUCCAGCCAUACCGCGUGGGUGAAGAAGGCCUUCGGGUUGUAAAGCCCUUUUGUUGGGAAAGAAAAGCAGCAGGUUAAUACCCCGCUGUUCUGGCGGUACCCAAAGAAUAAGCACCGGCUAACUUCGUG
RNAcentral lists this ribosomal RNA (492 nucleotides) under uncultured bacterium. Its description in RNAcentral is "partial 16S ribosomal RNA". It matches the Rfam family "Bacterial small subunit ribosomal RNA", at positions 29 to 507 of the family's 1533-position model. The record is from RNAcentral.